Durio zibethinus is the source of this 326-nucleotide non-coding RNA. The record is from RefSeq and is a predicted model, not a curated record. Lineage: Eukaryota; Viridiplantae; Streptophyta; Magnoliopsida; Malvales; Malvaceae.
CCCACAAAAAACCUCUGCACUCUUCCUUUAAUUCAUUUAUGCAUCUCAACUCUACAAAACUCUCUGCUAAUCCCGACCCCCUUUCUUUUGUAUAGAAACAAAGCUUCUGCAUUUGUUACUAUCUUCACUUGCACUAAUUGAUUUUAAGCUUCACGUUUCAAACUCUCUGCUAAGCCUUUGCAUCUCAUUUGUGCUCCACGAGUUUCAGCUCAAUCGUUGUCAUCUUCUUCAUCAGCGCUGUUUCGAAACAGGAGCCUGUUAGAAGUCCAAUAAUAGAUUCAUGCAUUCGGAUUACAGACAAUGGAAGGGAGAGCAUUAACAAAAAG